Molecule: ribosomal RNA, 468 nt
Filed under: uncultured bacterium
Lineage: Bacteria
Description: partial 16S ribosomal RNA
Rfam family: Bacterial small subunit ribosomal RNA
Source: RNAcentral
GACGAACGCUGGCGGCGUGCUUAACACAUGCAAGUCGAACGGAAAGGCCCUGCUUUUGUGGGGUUCUCGAGUGGCGAACGGGUGAGUAACACGUGAGUAACCUGCCCUUGACUUUGGGAUAACUUCAGGAAACUGGGGCUAAUACCGGAUAGGUGCUUCUGCUGCAUGGUGGGGGUUGGAAAGUUUCGGCGGUUGGGGAUGGACUCGCGGCUUAUCAGCUUGUUGGUGGGGUAUUGGCUUACCAAGGCUUUGACGGGUAGCCUGCCUGAGAGGGUGACCGGCAACAGUGGGACUGAGAUAAGGCCCAGACUCCUACGGGAGGCAGCAGGGGGGAAUAUUGCACAAUGGGAGAAGGCCUGAUGCAGCAACGCCGCGUGCGGGAUGACGGCCUUCGGGUUGUAAACCGCUUUCGCCUGUGACGAAGCGUGGGUGACGGUAAUGGGUAAAGAAGCACCGGCUAACUACGUG